AGCCGGCAAAGGAGCCCUGGCCUGAGAAGCGCCUGAAGGCCCUGGCGCCUGAGUGCCCUCGUGCCAGAGGCCCGUCGUGCGAAUUUUUCAGUAAGGAGUUUGGCUUCUGCCACCUAUUGCGUUCCUAUCGUCCUUGAUACUCGUGGACACCUGGAGCCACCCGCCCAGCUCAGUCACUGUGCAGUGGAGUCUGCUGGAGGCCUGGCGAGGUGGUCCUUCUCCACCAUGAAGCUAAGGAUCCCAGACUGGAUGGUGAAGAUGGCCUGGGCUAGGUUGCCUGGAUGGAAAUCUAUGACAAAAAGACCCAGCUUUUUAUUGCACUUAAAUCUUCCAUUGGUUUUAUCAGUUGACUUUGCCAUGAAUAACCUUAUGGAUGCGGCUGGACCCAUAUGUCAUUCAAAAAUCAGAAAGGAGGAACUCAGCAUACAUGCAAGGUACCAGACUUUCCUAAUUCAUAGAUGGUCCUAUUUUAAGUAUCCAGUUUGCUGUUGUUGGAGCUUUAUUAUUGCUGUAUUUCUGUCAUUACUCGUCUCUACCCAUUGUCACCUUGCUCAGGCUUUGGUAGAGGCUGGAACAAGGCCCCAUCUGGAGAGCCACGCAAGGCUGGCACCAAGUCCAGGGCACCACUGCAGUGCUGCCUCCUCAAGAUUCAUAGUUUUGCAAAUGAGUAUCCAAUUGAUCCACUACCCAAACCAACUUCCUGCCCACUUCCUGCAUAUCAGCUUUUUAAUGUCAGAUUUCUGGGCACUUUAUUAUUAUCCUUGUCUAUUUCUGAGCUAA
This 780-nucleotide long non-coding RNA is filed under the name Sus scrofa (pig). RNAcentral's name for it is "lncRNA (ENSSSCG00065020320.1)". The record is from RNAcentral. Lineage: Eukaryota; Metazoa; Chordata; Mammalia; Artiodactyla; Suidae.